Molecule: ribosomal RNA, 506 nt
Filed under: uncultured bacterium
Lineage: Bacteria
Description: partial 16S ribosomal RNA
Rfam family: Bacterial small subunit ribosomal RNA
Source: RNAcentral
AUUGAACGCUGGCGGCAGGCCUAACACAUGCAAGUCGGGCGGUAGCACAGGAGAGCUUGCUCUCCGGGUGACGAGCGGCGGACGGGUGAGUAAUGUCUGGGAAACUGCCUGAUGGAGGGGGAUAACUACUGGAAACGGUAGCUAAUACCGCAUAACGUCGCAAGACCAAAGAGGGGGACCUUCGGGCCUCUUGCCAUCGGAUGUGCCCAGAUGGGAUUAGCUAGUAGGUGAGGUAAAGGCUCACCUAGGCGACGAUCCCUAGCUGGUCUGAGAGGAUGACCAGCCACACUGGAACUGAGACACGGUCCAGACUCCUACGGGAGGCAGCAGUGGGGAAUAUUGCACAAUGGGCGCAAGCCUGAUGCAGCCAUGCCGCGUGUAUGAAGAAGGCCUUCGGGUUGUAAAGUACUUUCAGCGGGGAGGAAGGUGUUGUGGUUAAUAACCGCAGCAAUUGACGUUACCCGCAGAAGAAGCACCGGCUAACUCCGUGCCAGCAGCCGCGGUAA